GAUGAACGCUGGCGGCGUGCUUAACACAUGCAAGUCGAACGAUGAAGCCCAGCUUGCUGGGUGGAUUAGUGGCGAACGGGUGAGUAACACGUGAGUAACCUGCCCUUAACUCUGGGAUAAGCCUGGGAAACUGGGUCUAAUACCGGAUAGGAGCGUCCACCGCAUGGUGGGUGUUGGAAAGAUUUAUCGGUUUUGGAUGGACUCGCGGCCUAUCAGCUUGUUGGUGAGGUAAUGGCUCACCAAGGCGACGACGGGUAGCCGGCCUGAGAGGGUGACCGGCCUCACUGGGACUGAGACACGGCCCAGACUCCUACGGGAGGCAGCAGUGGGGAAUAUUGCACAAUGGGCGCAAGCCUGAUGCAGCGACGCCGCGUGAGGGAUGACGGCCUUCGGGUUGUAAACCUCUUUCAGUAGGGAAGAAGCGAAAGUGACGGUACCUGCAGAAGAAGCACCGGCUAACUACGUG
This 466-nucleotide ribosomal RNA is filed under the name uncultured bacterium. Its description in RNAcentral is "partial 16S ribosomal RNA". It matches the Rfam family "Bacterial small subunit ribosomal RNA", at positions 28 to 507 of the family's 1533-position model. The record is from RNAcentral.